RNAcentral lists this long non-coding RNA (352 nucleotides) under Gallus gallus (chicken). RNAcentral describes it as "lncRNA (ENSGALG00010026994.1)". The record is from RNAcentral. Lineage: Eukaryota; Metazoa; Chordata; Aves; Galliformes; Phasianidae.
CUUUACCAACAUUUGGGAAGCCAGAGGGUGGUUGAGGUUGAGUACGUACAACCAGUGCAAGCCAGAGCUGUAACAGGUGCUGCCUGUGUGGCAAAUGUCCCUCUCAUCAUGUUUGAUUGGUACACAUGGAGAUUGCCAUGAGUGCUGCUCCUCGGUGACCUUUCACUUGCGGGCGGAAAUGAACUUCUCUGCUUCAUCCUGACAUCUGCAAGCAAGAUGAGAAAUGGUCACCAGAUACUCUCAUCCCCUGACGGUUACCUGAUCGUUUCUGCACACGCUGCCAGGAGGUUUCCAUCUGUAGAUCUUAAGAAGCCCAAAGUUAUGCCUUUCUAUGCUGGCUCCAGACAAUCAG